AGAGUUUGAUCCUGGCUCGGGAUGAACGCUGGCGGCGUGCCUAACACAUGCAAGUCGAGCGAUUUACUUCGGUAAAGAGCGGCGGACGGGUGAGUAACGCGUGGGUAACCUGCCCUGUACACACGGAUAACAUACCGAAAGGUAUGCUAAUACGAGAUAAUAUGCUUUUAUCGCAUGGUAGAAGUAUCAAAGCUUUUGCGGUACAGGAUGGACCCGCGUCUGAUUAGCUAGUUGGUAAGGUAACGGCUUACCAAGGUGACGAUCAGUAGCCGACCUGAGAGGGUGAUCGGCCACAUUGGAACUGAGACACGGUCCAAACUCCUACGGGAGGCAGCAGUGGGGAAUAUUGCACAAUGGGCGAAAGCCUGAUGCAGCAACGCCGCGUGAGCGAUGAAGGCCUUCGGGUCGUAAAGCUCUGUCCUCAAGGAAGAUAAUGACGGUACUUGAGGAGGAAGCCCCGGCUAACUACGUGCCAGCAGCCGCGGUAAUACGUAGGGGGCUAGCGUUAUCCGGAAUUACUGGGCGUAAAGGGUGCGUAGGUGGUUUCUUAAGUCAGAGGUGAAAGGCUACGGCUCAACCGUAGUAAGCCUUUGAAACUGGGAAACUUGAGUGCAGGAGAGGAGAGUGGAAUUCCUAGUGUAGCGGUGAAAUGCGUAGAUAUUAGGAGGAACACCAGUUGCGAAGGCGGCUCUCUGGACUGUAACUGACACUGAGGCACGAAAGCGUGGGGAGCAAACAGGAUAGAUACCCUGUUAGUCACGCCGUAACGAUGAUACUA
Molecule: ribosomal RNA, 778 nt
Filed under: uncultured bacterium
Lineage: Bacteria
Description: bacterial SSU rRNA
Rfam family: Bacterial small subunit ribosomal RNA
Source: RNAcentral